RNAcentral lists this ribosomal RNA (301 nucleotides) under uncultured bacterium. Its description in RNAcentral is "partial 16S ribosomal RNA". It matches the Rfam family "Bacterial small subunit ribosomal RNA", at positions 509 to 807 of the family's 1533-position model. The record is from RNAcentral.
CAGUAGCCGCGGUAAUACGUAGGUGGCAAGCGUUGUCCGGAAUUAUUGGGCGUAAAGGGCUCGCAGGCGGUUUCUUAAGUCUGAUGUGGAAGCCCCCGGCUCAACCGGGGAGGGUCAUUGGAAACUGGGAAACUUGAGUGCAGAAGAGGAGAGUGGAAUUCCACGUGUAGCGGCGAAAUGCGUAGAGAUGUGGAGGAACACCAGUGGCAAAGGCGACUCUCUGGUCUGUAACUGACGCUGAGGAGCGAAAGCGUGGGGAGCAACCAGGAUUAGAUACCCCAGUAGUCCCUGUCUCUUAUAC